UACGUAGGUGGCGAGCGUUAUCCGGAAUGAUUGGGCGUAAAGGGUGCGCAGGCGGUAUGGUAAGUCAGCGGUAAAAGCCCGGGGCUCAACCCCGGCGAGCCGUUGAAACUGCCGUGCUAGAGAGGAAGAGAAGUAGGCGGAAUGCGCAGUGUAGCGGUGAAAUGCAUAGAUAUCGCGCAGAACUCCGAUUGCGAAGGCAGCGUACCGGCGCCAGACUGACGCUGAGGCACGAAAGCGUGGGUAUCGAACAGG
This 252-nucleotide ribosomal RNA is filed under the name uncultured Bacteroidales bacterium. RNAcentral's name for it is "partial 16S ribosomal RNA". It matches the Rfam family "Bacterial small subunit ribosomal RNA", at positions 524 to 776 of the family's 1533-position model. The record is from RNAcentral. Lineage: Bacteria; Pseudomonadati; Bacteroidota; Bacteroidia; Bacteroidales.